Molecule: long non-coding RNA, 404 nt
Filed under: Homo sapiens (human)
Lineage: Eukaryota; Metazoa; Chordata; Mammalia; Primates; Hominidae
Description: HSALNT0379472
Source: RNAcentral
CUGUCGCGCUGUUCUCGGACCAAACUGAGAGUGGGGCGGCUAUUUCUCGGGGCCCAAUGACGAGAUGCAGAUGAACUGAGGAGGAAGAGCGUUUUUAUUUUCUGCAACUGGUUACAGGGAGAAAGGCCUGGAAAUGAUCACCGGACCAACUCAAAAUUACAGUUUUCCAGAACUUACAUACCUUCUAAGCGGUAUGUCUACGUGUAAGUGUGCAUGCAUCUGAAGACAUUAGUGAUGAACUUACGGUCAUCUGUGAGUCCUGAAGACCUUCCUCUGGAGCCUCAAUAAGGGAAUUUGGACAACGACAUGCACGCAGGGAGAACAGCACAUGAAGACGGAGGCAGGGAUGGCAGAGACGUGUCCACCAGCCAGGAGCCAGACACUGCCAGCGGAUCACACGCAGC